GAUGAACGCUGACAGAAUGCUUAACACAUGCAUGUCGACUCGAGUCUUCGGACUUGGGUGGCGGACGGGUGAGUAACGCGUAAAGAACUUGCCUCAUAGUCUGGGACAACAUUUGGAAAUGGAUGCUAAUACCGGAUAUUAUACUUUCCUCGCAUGGAGGAAGUAUGAAAGCUAUAUGCGCUAUGAGAGAGCUUGCGUCCCAUUAGCUAGUUGGUGAGGUAACGGCCCACCAAGGCGAUGAUGGGUAGCCGGCCUGAGAGGGUGAACGGCCACAAGGGGACUGAGACACGGCCCUUACUCCUACGGGAGGCAGCAGUGGGGAAUAUUGGACAAUGGACCAAAAGUCUGAUCCAGCAAUUCUGUGUGCACGAUGACGUUUUUCGGAGUGUAAAGUGCUUUCAGUCGGGAAGAAGCAAGUGACGGUACCGACAGAAGAAGCGACGGCUAAAUACGUGCCAGCAGCCGCGGUAAUACGUAUGUCGCAAGCGUUAUCCGGAUUUAUUGGGCGUAAAGCGCGUCUAGGCGGCAAGGAAAGUCUGAUGUGAAAAUGCGGGGCUCAACUCCGUAUUGCGUUGGAAACUGCCUUACUAGAGUACUGGAGAGGUAGGCGGAACUACAAGUGUAGAGGUGAAAUUCGUAGAUAUUUGUAGGAAUGCCGAUGGGGAAGCCAGCCUACUGGACAGAUACUGACGCUAAAGCGCGAAAGCGUGGGUAGCAAACAGG
RNAcentral lists this ribosomal RNA (723 nucleotides) under uncultured Fusobacterium sp. Its description in RNAcentral is "bacterial SSU rRNA". It matches the Rfam family "Bacterial small subunit ribosomal RNA", at positions 28 to 776 of the family's 1533-position model. The record is from RNAcentral. Lineage: Bacteria; Fusobacteriati; Fusobacteriota; Fusobacteriia; Fusobacteriales; Fusobacteriaceae.